RNAcentral lists this long non-coding RNA (4952 nucleotides) under Sus scrofa (pig). RNAcentral's name for it is "lncRNA (ENSSSCG00000047609.1)". The record is from RNAcentral. Lineage: Eukaryota; Metazoa; Chordata; Mammalia; Artiodactyla; Suidae.
AGAAAAAUUUGUAAGCUCGAUCCAGUCAGAAGGAAGCAUCAAUCUUACCCACGGUGAGGAACAUUUGAAAAAAAGUGACUCCCCAGUGUUCUUCAAAAGCAUCAAGUUCAUGAAAUACCGACUUUUAUGCCAGUUGCUUUACAAUAUUACCUCUCCUAUCUUCCCUGUAUGUCUAUGAGUUAAAAUUACAACUAUCUAUGUGUUGCAGCGAAAAACUGAGUUCGAAAGAGGUUACUUUCAUUCCUGGACUAUACAACUAAUUAUAGGUAAAGCCACAGUUAGCAUCCAGGUCUAUAAAUUCCUAAACUACUGAUUUUAAAUUCUAUCAAACUAUUCUUUGAGGCAAUAUUUUAUUGAAAUUCUAUUUACGUAAAAACAAAACAACACACCCUACUUUAUAUUAUAAAAGAUUUAUUUUUCAAUAGUUCUAAUAAAUUUGGAGAAGCUGUGUUUUUGCCUGGUAGCUGUGAAUAAAACAAAUAUAAUUCAACAGCCAGCCUUGUAGGAAACUGACCAGUCUUCAUGGUUAUAAAUCUUCCAGCUUCCUCAUAUGAAACAGUUAUACAAUCCUUUGUUACCCAAACUUUUCUGUUGUACAAAUCCCACUGAUGUGACAACUUGAGAUCAGCUGCUGAUUUGACUGGGGACAGUCUGACCAAUUGCCAAUAUCACUGAAGCUGUGGGCAUUGUUUUGCCUAAGAAGUGCUGUGUUCCUGAAUUCAAAUAGAUUCGCCCACUGAAUCAUUAUGAAUUUUUAUUUACAGUGAAUUUCCUUGAAAUUUUACGUUCUAAAAAUAAUGUAAAUCUUGAAAAAAAACAAUUAGAUAGCAGAUGCACAGAAAAACUAGAAAUAAGAGUAUCUACAUCCAAUUUUUAUUCCUAAAUCAAACCAUCAUUCAUUCAUUCUAAUCUAAUGUUAGGCCUGUGAUCAUUUUUUUUUAAUAAAUAAACUAUUUUUUAGAGUAGUUUUAGGGCUCAUUCUUGGUGUUGUACAUUCUAUGAGUUUGAACUAGUAUAUAAUGAAAUGUAUCCAACACUGUAGUAUGGGGCAGAAUAAUUUUACUGCCCUAAAAAUCCUCUGUGUUAUGCCCAUUCAUCCCUCUCCCAAACACUAAUAACCGCUAAUCUUUUCUUAUUACCUCUGUGGUUUUGUACUUCAGAAUGUAAUAUAGUUGGAACUACAGAGUAUAUAGCUUUUUCAGAUUGGCUUAUUUUACUUAGCAAUUUGUGUUUCAGGUUUCUUCAUGUCUUUUCAUGGCUUGAUAGCUCAUUUCUCUUUAGCAGUGACUAAUAUUCUAUUAUCUGGAUAUACUACAGUAUAUUUAUCCAUUCCCCUACCAUUGGACAUCUCGGUUACUUCUAAGUUUUGGCAGUUAUGAAUAAAGCUGCUAUAAGUUCUAUGUGCAGGCUUUUGUAUGGACAUAAGUUUUCAAUUCAUUUUGGGUAAAUACCAAAGAGCACUAUUCCUGUUAUAUGGUAAGAGCAUGUUUAAUUUUGUAGGAAAUUUCUGAAGGGUCUUUCAAGGUGGCUAUACCACCCAUGAUCAUAUUUUAAAAUGAACAAAUGCUCUCUAUGAUAAUUAUUUCCUCAUUUUAAAGAAAAUCCAAAAACUCACUGUAAAUUUAAGGGUUGUUUGCAUGUAAACCAUACAUACACCCAGCUCACUCAAAAUCAAUUGGGUCAGAAUCUUUGAAGAGCGGCAUCCAGACACUGAUAUACAGUUUAGACUCUCCUUGAUUCUAUUAGGUAGUUAGGAUUGAGAAUCCUUUAUGUUAAUUAUCCGGGUAGCCACCUAAUCAUCCUACAGCAUUACAUGAAUGCAGUGCCACCACAGCAUUUGUAUUUAUACUUAUAUUUGUGGCAAAUGAUCUAUUAACAUCAUGAUAUUUAACUUUUCAUGCAUUGGUAAGUAUAACUGGCUGUCAUUAGGGCGCUCUGUUCUAUUAUAAAAACGACAAUUGCAUAAAGGAAGCCAUUUAUUCAUGUUGAAUUAGUUUUCCAGUUGUAAAAACAAAACUUCUUUUGCGCUAGUCAUUUACAGCUAAAAAACAUUUUCAUGGAAACCACACUGCAGUUUAACAAAUGACUUUUAAAAAAAAUGACUUGUAAUCACAAGAACAGCACAAAGUAAAUAUAUUGCUCUUUAAUUGUUCCUGGCAACUGAGAAAGAAACAGAGAAAUAUUUAAUAUGAAAAUGAAGAGAUUUUGGCAAGUGAGGAUUAAAUGACCUUUUGAACAUGUUGUACCAAUAAUAUUUCACAAUGUAUGAAAGUGGAGGAGAACUGAAUCAUUGAACAUCUCAUGGUUACAAAGGCAUUUACAUCUCAAAAGACUAUGUUGUUAGAGUUAGUACUAUCUAACUUGAAUGUAACCUAUCUAUGUACUAGUUUGUAAUAAACUGUUACUGGUUAAUGCAAGUGUAUACAACAAAGAUGCCAGGAAUACUAGCAGAGAUACUAAGGCAGAUUCCUUCCUGAGACACUAGGAAUUCUCUGAUGUCCACCUUUAGUUCACAAACUCCCCAGUAGCCUUGAAAACACUUCCUCAUGCUCCCAGAAAUCCAGAAGUGCCAGCCAUCCUUUCCAUCCUUCUUUCCCAAGGGGUCAAACUUCUCUCACACUUCCUGGCUCACUCCCCAUUCUUUCUCAUAGGUGUUUCUCUUAAUGAAAUUCUUCCAUGUUCAUCUGGCUUCUGCUCCUCAGAGGACCGAGUUUAACACAUGCGGCAAUAAAACAUAGCAUGAUGGUUGAAAAUGGGAUUUUUUUUCCCUUACAGCAGAUGCCAUUUAUCAUAUUAAUUUGAUGAAAAUUUUAACAUCAAAUUGUUGAUUUUCUUUAUUUAUAAGUAAAAAAGUGUUUAAACUAUCUUACAUCACUACUAAAAAUAAUGAAGGGUUUCAUUUUUCCUCUAAAACUGGUGUGAAUGCCAUUCAAGUUUGAAAAACUGCCUCAAAUAAAUAUUAACUCACUACAAUUCUCUGUAGCCAAUGGGGGGUAAGGGAAGUAAACUUCCACAAGUUUAUCAAACUGACUUAAAGUAAAUUGUUUUUCAGUUCAGCUAUACUACCUCCAGACACUAAGUCAUGCACUGUGGUGAAUUCUCUCUCCGAGAAUUAUUCUGAGUCGUGCAUGCACCCCUACUAGGAUUCAAAACCAACAUCAACUGCUAAUGUGUGUUUUUACUAAAUGUAUCAGCUCCACCCAGUCUUGCUCAUUCACCACAACCCAGUUUUUAAACACUGCUCAGAUCCCUGCUUCAACCAUUUGUGCCCAUUUUGGCUGCUUUCUCCAAUAAUUUAGGAAAGCCUAGAGGCCAAUAAACAAGUAAACUUGGACAGCCACAAACCACAGUGCCCCAAAUCUAAACUACUGAGUUUGCUUACUUAGCAUACCUCAAGCUGGGGCAAAUCCAUUGCUAGCCUUAGCUGGAGGCCUCCAAAGAACCUCCUGAGAGUGCUCGGAAGGGACCACAUGAACAUAUGUAAAAAGUCAUAGCCUCCCUUAUCAAGGACCCUGCAGUGAACAUUAGGCACAUUUCUUCAAUUGCUCCAUAGCUCUAUUAUCUUUGCUACCAUUCUUAAAAGUUCUUCAGUACCUUUGGGAUCUAACCCACUUUUAAUUUUCUAGGACAACCAGGGUUAGGGAGAUGGAUAUAAGGAAAAACACAAGAUUCUUGGCAUUUCUCUCCUUGUUGCUUUUCAAGUGAGGCUUUCAACAAAUAAGUGAACAGAAGCAGAAAUACAGACACAUUUUCAGUAUUUUCCAUCACUGAAUAACUCCACAGUGUGGAACGUACCAUUAGGGGACUGAGUCCUUUUAUCUUUACAUGCCAUAGAAUCACCUGGAGAGCAGAGGGUGAUAAUUUGCAAAACUAGACGGCAGUAGUACAACUAGGAGAUUGGCAUUGGUUCAACCCAUGUCCCAGACUAGUUAAAAGUGCUCUGGGGGUAGAACUGAAGCACCAGUCAUUCCAGGUUACUCCAAGUUUCAACCACAUUUAAGAUCCAUUACUCUAGGUCUAAGACAUUUGUUCUCAAACUGUGUCAGGCAUUAAAAUCAUCUAGACACUUGUUAAUACAAAGAUUGCUGGGACUUACCCCUCAUUUCUGAUUACCAACCUAAGUAAAGAAUUUGCAUUUCUAACACAUACUCAGGAUAUUGAUGCUGCUGGUCCAAGGGGUUUAAAAUCCAAUACUCUAGGAAAUUCUGUUUUCCAGAAGCUCUAUCAAAUCACACUUUUGCUUAUAUUUUAUUGGCAAUGACUAUGUCGCCUGGACAUCUCUAGCCACAACCAGAAUAUUAAAUAUUUUCUUUGAGCACAGUAUUUCCCCAAAUAAAAACAGAAUUAUCUUAAGAAACAAGGGGAGAAUUGAUAUCCGUGAGGUCAAUACUUACUAAAAAAUUAAUGUCACAUGAACAUAAACAUGGUUAUUUUUGUGGCAUUGGAAUAACUUAACAUUUAUGGAGCCUGGAUGGCAGCCAGUAUCUACCGGCACAGGCUCUUCAACCACCUGGGCUCUGUCCAUGCAGAUAAUGAAGCUCUGGACUAAAAACUAGAAAUGUCUGCUACAGAAAUGUACUGAGGUGAACCACUAUGCCCUAAUUUGUAUGACCUGUCCAUUCUUUAAAGGAAAAAAAAAAGGUUCAUAUUCAGCAACUUUAGCAAGUGUCAAUUUACAUGGGAGCUGGUAUGAUGAAGAGUUAACUUCUAAUGGCUAAGCUGCAUCUUUCCAAAUGUAUCAGAUAUGUUAGCACUUUAAUCUGAUCUGGUUUCAAUCAUUUUUUUUUCUUAUAUACCAUUUCCUUCAGAUUAUUUUUUUCCUCUGAUGAGAUCUCAUAGAAUUCCUAGCUAACACCAUGUAGCUUUAAAGUUUUAGAAUCAUUGCCAGUAGAUUAACUGAGUGGCCGACUGAGGGAGCACAUACCAGUAUAAAGUGUUCUAAAACCGCUAAU